This 1276-nucleotide ribosomal RNA is filed under the name uncultured bacterium. RNAcentral describes it as "bacterial SSU rRNA". It matches the Rfam family "Bacterial small subunit ribosomal RNA", at positions 104 to 1381 of the family's 1533-position model. The record is from RNAcentral.
GGGUGAGUAUCAUUUAGGAAUCUACCUAGUAGUGGGGGAUAGCUCGGGGAAACUCGAAUUAAUACCGCAUACGACCUACGGGUGAAAGGGGGCGCAAGCUCUUGCUAUUAGAUGAGCCUAAAUCAGAUUAGCUAGUUGGUGGGGUAAAGGCCCACCAAGGCGACGAUCUGUAACUGGUCUGAGAGGAUGAUCAGUCACACCGGAACUGAGACACGGUCCGGACUCCUACGGGAGGCAGCAGUGGGGAAUAUUGGACAAUGGGGGCAACCCUGAUCCAGCCAUGCCGCGUGUGUGAAGAAGGCCUUUUGGUUGUAAAGCGCUUUAAGCAGGGAGGAGAGGCUAAUGGUUAAUACCCAUUAGAUUAGACGUUACCUGCAGAAUAAGCACCGGCUAACUCUGUGCCAGCAGCCGCGGUAAUACAGAGGGUGCGAGCGUUAAUCGGAAUUACUGGGCGUAAAGCGAGUGUAGGUGGCUCAUUAAGUCACAUGUGAAAUCCCCGGGCUUAACCUGGGAACUGCAUGUGAUACUGGUGGUGCUAGAAUAUGUGAGAGGGAAGUAGAAUUCCAGGUGUAGCGGUGAAAUGCGUAGAGAUCUGGAGGAAUACCGAUGGCGAAGGCAGCUUCCUGGCAUAAUAUUGACACUGAGAUUCGAAAGCGUGGGUAGCAAACAGGAUUAGAUACCCUGGUAGUCCACGCCGUAAACGAUGUCUACUAGCCGUUGGGGUCCUUGAGACUUUAGUGGCGCAGUUAACGCGAUAAGUAGACCGCCUGGGGAGUACGGCCGCAAGGUUAAAACUCAAAUGAAUUGACGGGGGCCCGCACAAGCGGUGGAGCAUGUGGUUUAAUUCGAUGCAACGCGAAGAACCUUACCUGGUCUUGACAUAGUGAGAAUCUCUCAGAGAUGAGAGAGUGCCUUCGGGAACUCACAUACAGGUGCUGCAUGGCUGUCGUCAGCUCGUGUCGUGAGAUGUUGGGUUAAGUCCCGCAACGAGCGCAACCCUUUUCCUUAUUUGCCAGCGGGUUAAGCCGGGAACUUUAAGGAUACUGCCAGUGACAAACUGGAGGAAGGCGGGGACGACGUCAAGUCAUCAUGGCCCUUACGACCAGGGCUACACACGUGCUACAAUGGUAGGUACAGAGGGUUGCUACACAGCGAUGUGAUGCUAAUCUCAAAAAGCCUAUCGUAGUCCGGAUUGGAGUCUGCAACUCGACUCCAUGAAGUCGGAAUCGCUAGUAAUCGCGGAUCAGAAUGCCGCGGUGAAUACGUUCCCGGGCCU